Molecule: ribosomal RNA, 215 nt
Filed under: uncultured bacterium
Lineage: Bacteria
Description: partial 16S ribosomal RNA
Rfam family: Bacterial small subunit ribosomal RNA
Source: RNAcentral
CUCAGUUCGGAUUGCAGGCUGCAACUCGCCUGCAUGAAGUCGGAAUUGCUAGUAAUCGCGGAUCAGCAUGCCGCGGUGGAUACGUUCCCGGGCCUUGUACACACCGCCCGUCACACCAUGGGAGUUUGUAACGCCCAAAGUCGGUGGCCUAACCUUUAUGGAGGGAGCCGCCUAAGGCGGGACAGAUGACUGGGGUGAAGUCGUAACAAGGUAUC